UACGGGGGGAGCAAGCGUUGUUCGGAUUUCCUGGGCGUAAAGGGCGCGUAGGCGGCCAGCACAAGUCAGUUGUGAAAUCUCCGAGCUUAACUCGGAAAGGUCAACUGAUACUGUGCGGCUAGAGUGCGGAAGGGGCAACUGGAAUUCUUGGUGUAGCGGUGAAAUGCGUAGAUAUGCGGAGGAACACCGAUGGCGAAGGCAAUCCCCUGGGCCUGCACUGACGCUCAUGCACGAAAGCGUGGGGAGCAAACAGG
RNAcentral lists this ribosomal RNA (254 nucleotides) under uncultured bacterium. RNAcentral describes it as "partial 16S ribosomal RNA". It matches the Rfam family "Bacterial small subunit ribosomal RNA", at positions 524 to 776 of the family's 1533-position model. The record is from RNAcentral.